Molecule: ribosomal RNA, 228 nt
Filed under: uncultured bacterium
Lineage: Bacteria
Description: partial 16S ribosomal RNA
Rfam family: Bacterial small subunit ribosomal RNA
Source: RNAcentral
UGAGCAAUCUGCCCUUCUCAUCGGAAUAAGCGUUGGAAACGACGUCUAAUGCCGUAUACGACCUCCUUUCGCAUGAUCGGAGGUGGAAAGCUCCGGCGGAGAAGGAUGAGCUCGCGGCCUAUCAGCUAGUUGGUGAGGUAACGGCUCACCAAGGCGACGACGGGUAGCUGGUCUGAGAGGAUGGCCAGCCACAUUGGGACUGAGACACGGCCCAGAUCCGUAACGGGG